Molecule: ribosomal RNA, 403 nt
Filed under: uncultured bacterium
Lineage: Bacteria
Description: partial 16S ribosomal RNA
Rfam family: Bacterial small subunit ribosomal RNA
Source: RNAcentral
GACGAACGCUGGCGGCGUGCCUAAUACAUGCAAGUCGAACGCAGUGGGGACGGGUGCGUAACACGUGGGUAACCUCCCAUCAGAGGGGAUAACACUUGGAAACAGGUGCUAAACCGAUACUGAUGGAUGGACCCGCUGUGCAUUAGCUAGUGGGUGAGGUAACGGCUCACCAAGGCCACGAUGCAUAGCCGACCUGAGAGGUUGAUCGGCCACCCUGGGGAGGAGAAAAGGUCCAGACUCCUAGGGGAGGCAGCAGUAGGGAAUCGUCAGCAAUGGACGAAAGUCUGACCGAGCAACGCCGCGUGAGUGAAGAAGGUUUUCGGGGCGGAAAACUCUGUUGUUAGAGAAGCGGUAGCUAACCAGAAAGCCACGGCUAACUACGUGCCAGCAGCCGCGGUAAUUC